UACGAAGGGGGCUAGCGUUGCUCGGAAUCACUGGGCGUAAAGGGUGCGUAGGCGGGUCUUUAAGUCAGGGGUGAAAUCCUGGAGCUCAACUCCAGAACUGCCUUUGAUACUGAAGAUCUUGAGUUCGGGAGAGGUGAGUGGAACUGCGAGUGUAGAGGUGAAAUUCGUAGAUAUUCGCAAGAACACCAGUGGCGAAGGCGGCUCACUGGCCCGAUACUGACGCUGAGGCACGAAAGCGUGGGGAGCGAACAGG
RNAcentral lists this ribosomal RNA (253 nucleotides) under uncultured bacterium. Its description in RNAcentral is "partial 16S ribosomal RNA". It matches the Rfam family "Bacterial small subunit ribosomal RNA", at positions 524 to 776 of the family's 1533-position model. The record is from RNAcentral.